UAAAACAUUCGACGGUACUUUAACGACCCGACCCGACCCGACCCGACCCGUCAGCAAUAAUAACUCGUUAGGUCAAAACUAUCGGCCAAAAAUACUUAAGCCCAGUCAUUAUUACUAGAAUGAAAUUUUCUUAUAUACUCAAUGAUAAUCCAUUCCUAUCCGAUAUGGGACUAUUAGGAUGUCACAGAUUCAUUGCAUUUUGAGACUUGUAAAUAUCGACGUCAUAACAACCAAAU
This 236-nucleotide long non-coding RNA is filed under the name Ananas comosus (pineapple). RNAcentral describes it as "long non-coding RNA (ACOM_LNC014758)". Lineage: Eukaryota; Viridiplantae; Streptophyta; Magnoliopsida; Poales; Bromeliaceae. The record is from RNAcentral.